This is a long non-coding RNA of Magnolia sinica, 1083 nucleotides long. RefSeq lists it as uncharacterized. Lineage: Eukaryota; Viridiplantae; Streptophyta; Magnoliopsida; Magnoliales; Magnoliaceae. The record is from RefSeq and is a predicted model, not a curated record. The transcript is spliced from 2 exons.
GUGAUGCCAUGGCUGUAGAUAGGGAUGCUGAGGUCUUCCUUUCCUGACACCCUUUAGAGAGGCUGUGAUGGGGCUGUAACUUCUAUCGGUGGUGUUGGAUUGGGGACCCAGCCCUUGUUAAUAUAGGUGAGAGGGGUGAGGAGUUUUAAACCCAUCAAAACUCCUCUCGCCAGGGCUCCACACGAAUUAGUAAUCCUAGUUCAUCUAAAUCAUUGUGUGUGUAUCACACACAUGUAGCACUCCACCCCUUACACGAAUUUCUGAAUGUAUUGCAACUUAGUGGGGCCCACUGGUAUACCCGAUCACAUUAUCCAACCCUUAGGACAAUCUAGACCAUUGAUCAAUAAGGCCCACCUUAUAGAAUUCUUACAGGCCACACCAUGUAAAUUUAGAGUUUCUAGCUAUAAUUUCAUAGAGUGACCCACCUGAGAAUUGAUUCAGCCUAAUUAUUUUUGUUUUUAAAAAGGCCAAAACAAGGUGCAAUUUACCUGAUGGAUUGCAUAGAUUUUGGGCACAUCAAGCCGUUUAUCCCCAUAUUAGUGAACGAAACCCUGUUAGGUGCCUACUGGAGAUGGCCCAGCAUUUUCUGACUCUCCCUUUUCAGAUCUCUCUCAUUCUUUCUCUUCAUGUGCAUACCACUGCCAUACGCCAUAGUUUAAUUUAUUUCACUGACAUAUCUAACAUGUUGAAUGUAAAUUGAUUUAAUUAGGUUUUGGUAAAAGAAAGUUUGAGAUAUCAGGGAAAACCAAAUUAUAAGAUUAAUAUCACAAGAUCUAUCAAAGAAGAAAUUUCAGAUGCUUCUGGUAUCAACACAAACGACUUCCAAUCAACUGGCCAGCUUGCAACAUCAUCAGCUAUCAUCGGGGAUAUCAAUGACCUUUCCUGGUGCUCAUCCAAACUGCAUGAUUCUUUGAUAUUAGCAGCUGAAGAUGGGACUGCUUUCCUCUGGAAUGUGAAUAAUUCUAACCCAACCAAAUGCUUCAACGCACAUAUAUCCCGCAUCACCUCCGUUGAUUUCAACCUCACAGAUGACACUUUCAUCACAGCGUCGUGAGACAAAACUGUUAGGUUGUGGAACAUCGA